CGGCGGNGUCAAUACAUGCAAGUAAAGGGGGUGGAGCAAUCCAUCACCGGCGCACGGGUGCGUAACUCUUCUGUAACCUACCUCUUACUAGAGGAUAUACCAGAGAAAUUUGGAGCAAGACUCUAUAUGCACACGGAUUGGCAUCAAUUCGGGUGGAAAGGCAACGGUAAGAGCUGGACAUGCGUCUGAUUAGCUAGUUGGUGAGGUAACGGCUCACCAAGGCGACGAUCAGUAACUGGUCUGAGAGGAUGAUCAGUCACACUGGCAC
RNAcentral lists this ribosomal RNA (268 nucleotides) under uncultured Bacteroidota bacterium. RNAcentral's name for it is "uncultured Bacteroidetes bacterium partial 16S ribosomal RNA". It matches the Rfam family "Bacterial small subunit ribosomal RNA", at positions 40 to 319 of the family's 1533-position model. The record is from RNAcentral. Lineage: Bacteria; Pseudomonadati; Bacteroidota.